Long non-coding RNA from Oxyura jamaicensis (ruddy duck), 710 nucleotides. RefSeq lists it as uncharacterized. The transcript is spliced from 3 exons. Lineage: Eukaryota; Metazoa; Chordata; Aves; Anseriformes; Anatidae. The record is from RefSeq and is a predicted model, not a curated record.
GGUCUGUAAGGCAAGGGGGGCAGAGAUGGAUUAGGGGCAGCAUCACACCCACCAGGCACCCCAUGAUGAAAAGCAGACACUCACCUUUACAAGCACAGGAUACCCUGGAAUGACUUUUUAAGCCAAGUGGUAAACAUGGCAGCGGCUGUUAUUAAGAUUUCCAACAAACAGUAACUUUAAAGAUUAUCUGAUCUGAAAUCUUGCCAUCGUAGAACUCUAGACACCAAUACGAUUACUACACAAGAGACAUUCUUUGCAAGACUUCCACUACACUAUAUAUUUGGAUUUUACAUCACUGAAAGAUGUUAAUCGUUUUACAUAAAAAUUGAAGUUCAGGAAGCACUGCUGUGUGUCUGAACUGAAUAAAGUUUAUCUAAAGGAAAGCUAACUGCAAAACAGAAAAUGACUCUAAAAAGGAAAGGUAUUCCAUUAAUAAUCUUUACAAAUCCUCUUCUGAAAAGUUAAAAUGGACUUGAUUUGAAUAAAUUAAAUACCCACCCUGAUAUGCUACAGAUACACAAUAAUUAAGCAUAACCUAAAUCUCCUGAGGGGUUUUUUCUUUACACUAACCUGUCCAAUUUCCAGCGAAAACAUCCAUGCAUCAUUACCCACCAAAAAACUUCACAGAAACUACAGAGAAAUUGAAGAAAUGCUUGGUAGGUCAGUAAAGUUUGGCAGAAAGACACAGUCAUUCAUGGAUUUCCUCCCCA